This 241-nucleotide ribosomal RNA is filed under the name uncultured bacterium. Its description in RNAcentral is "partial 16S ribosomal RNA". It matches the Rfam family "Bacterial small subunit ribosomal RNA", at positions 268 to 526 of the family's 1533-position model. The record is from RNAcentral.
CCAAGGCGACGAUCAGUAGCCGACCUGAGAGGGUGAUCGGCCACAUUGGAACUGAGACACGGUCCAAACUCCUACGGGAGGCAGCAGUGGGGAAUAUUGCACAAUGGGCGAAAGCCUGAUGCACCAACGCCGCGUGAGUGAUGAAGGCCUUCGGGUCGUACAACUCUGUCCUCUCUGAAGAUAAUGACGGUACUUGAGGAGGAAGCCCCGGCUAACUACGUGCCAGCAGCCGCGGUAAUAC